This 232-nucleotide unclassified non-coding RNA is filed under the name fungal sp. RNAcentral's name for it is "partial internal transcribed spacer region". The stretch from base 1 to 46 matches the Rfam family "Eukaryotic small subunit ribosomal RNA", at positions 1786 to 1831 of the family's 1831-position model. The record is from RNAcentral. Lineage: Eukaryota; Fungi.
AAGUCGUAACAAGGUAACCGUAGGUGAACCUGCGGUUGGAUCAUUAACAAAAAUGUUAUUCUGCCAUGCUCUUUCGGGGGUUAUGGUAGGGUAAAAACACCAUUUUGUCAACUGUUACGGUAGUCUAGUACUAUCAUUUUUCAACUACUCUUAUUGUAAAAACUAAACUAAAGUUGUAUUACUUUAAAAAAUUAAUAUUAAACAACUUUUGGCAACGGAUCUCUAGGCUCUU